This 468-nucleotide ribosomal RNA is filed under the name uncultured bacterium. RNAcentral describes it as "partial 16S ribosomal RNA". It matches the Rfam family "Bacterial small subunit ribosomal RNA", at positions 28 to 507 of the family's 1533-position model. The record is from RNAcentral.
GACGAACGCUGGCGGCGUGCUUAACACAUGCAAGUCGAACGGAAAGGCCCUGCUUUUGUGGGGUGCACGAGUGGCGAACGGGUGUGUAACACGUGCGUAACCUGCACUUGUCUUUGGGAUAACUCUCCGACACUCGGGCUACUACAGGGUAGGAGAUCCUGCUGCAUGGUGGGGGUUGGAAAGUUUCGGCGGUUGGGGUUGGACUCGCGGCUUAACAGCUUGUUGGUGGGGUAGUCGCAUACAAAGGCUUUGACGGGUAGCCGGCCUGAGAGGGUGACCGGCCUCAAUUGGACUGAGAUACGGCCCAGGCUCCGACGGGAGGCAGCAGUGGGGAGUAUGGCACAACGGGCGGAAGCCAGAGGCAGCAAUGCCGCGUGCGGGAUAACGGCCGUCGGGUUGUAAACCGCUUUCGCCUUUGACGAAGCGGGAGUGACGGUAAUUGGUAAAUAAGCACCGGCUAACUACGUG